RNAcentral lists this ribosomal RNA (429 nucleotides) under Actinomycetes bacterium. RNAcentral's name for it is "Actinobacteria bacterium partial 16S ribosomal RNA". It matches the Rfam family "Bacterial small subunit ribosomal RNA", at positions 355 to 776 of the family's 1533-position model. The record is from RNAcentral. Lineage: Bacteria; Bacillati; Actinomycetota; Actinomycetes.
UAGGGAAUCUUCCGCAAUGGGCGAAAGCCUGACGGAGCAACGCCGCGUGAGUGAUGAAGGUCUUCGGAUCGUAAAACUCUGUUAUUAGGGAAGAACAAAUGUGUAAGUAACUAUGCACGUCUUGACGGUACCUAAUCAGAAAGCCACGGCUAACUACGUGCCAGCAGCCGCGGUAAUACGUAGGUGGCAAGCGUUAUCCGGAAUUAUUGGGCGUAAAGCGCGCGUAGGCGGUUUUUUAAGUCUGAUGUGGAAGCCCACGGCUCAACCGUGGAGGGUCGUUGGAAACUGGAAAACUUGAGUGCAGAAGAGGAAAGUGGGAUUCCAUGUGUAGCGGUGAAAUGCGCAGAGAUAUGGAGGAACACCAGUGGCGAAGGCGACUUUCUGGUCUGUAACUGACGCUGAUGUGCGAAAGCGUGGGGAUCAAACAGG